Molecule: RNA transcript, 3658 nt
Organism: Syngnathoides biaculeatus (alligator pipefish)
Lineage: Eukaryota; Metazoa; Chordata; Actinopteri; Syngnathiformes; Syngnathidae
Gene: tmem70
Gene name: transmembrane protein 70
Exons: 5
Source: RefSeq, a predicted model, not a curated record
UGAUUGACUGUGACAUAAUGGCGGCCGCUUUGACAUAUGCGGAAAGGAGACAAAUUCACAGUGUCAACUCCAUGUUUACGCUCAAGGCGGCGGGGGCGUUGGGUAAGAGAAGAUGUUUGACGUAGAAGAAGAAGAUGGGCGGAAGUUCUUCGCGUUUCUGGUUGCGCCUCUGGUAUUCGAUAUCGGCAGUACAGUAUUUAGCGGUCAUUUGCAGAGCAGAAUGCUUUCUCUCAGUGGUGUUUUGAGUACCCGAGUUCGUUUUAUUGCGAACUCGUUCAGUACAACACGUACUGUUUGCAUGCGACCUGGAGGCCAAACGAGCGUGUCAUGUUUUGGCCGACUGAUAGGAAAUAAUCUCCAUGCUGUCAGGAGCUCAUCGCUUCAACUGAAAUUCAAGGUGCAGCCUCGGAUUCUAUCUUCUUGUCUUGCUACCAUGGCCCAUUCUGAAAAUGAGAAACUUAUUUACACAGGCAGUCUGGCAAUGGCAGUUCGUGGAGUAAAAAUGUUUUCUUACAGUACAAGUGGAGCCAGUCUCUUUCUCAUGCCACAGAUCUUCUUGAAAACAGGACUAGGACUCCAGAGCCUUCCCCUUCAAAUGGCUUUCUGCAGCAUCAUUGGCUUCUUCACCUUCCUCACCCCUGUGCUCCUCCACUUCAUAACCAAAGGUUAUGUGGUCCGUCUAUACCACAACUCAGAUCAGGACACUUAUACUGCAAUAACCUACAGUGUCUUCCUGACUGAGCAAAGGACAGUCUUUCAUCAGAAGCAGGUAAGUAUACCAGCUGUCAGCAAGAUGUUCACCACCUUCUAUGCCAACAAGACUGGGCUGCUUGUGAACCCUGACAUGUUCGCCCUCCCUCAGGAUUACAACCACCUCAUGGGCUAUGACAAGCCCUUCACCUUCAGAACAGACUACAUGGACAGGCCAUGAUCUAAUGUUGCAUGUGGUGUUUUUGGUCAUUUUCCAAAUGGCAAUACAAUUCACAGUGAAUACAUUUGACACCAACAAUUGUCUUUAUCAUAUAUCUGUCUAUCCAUUUUCUUUGCUGCUUAUCCUCACAAGGGUCGCAGGGAGUGCUGGAUCCUAUCCCAGCUGUCAACGGGCAGGAGGCGUGGUACACCCUGGACUAGUUGCCAGCCAAUCGCAGGGCACAUUGAGACAGACAGCCACACUCACAAUCACCCCUAGGUUAAUGUUGGAUGUUUUUGGAAUGUGGGAGGAAACCAGAGUGCCUGGAGGAAACACACCCAAGCACGGGGAGAACAUGCAAACUCCACAGAGGUGGUUCCGGGAUCGAACCUAGGACCUCAGAACUGUGAGGCUAACGCUUUACCGGCUGACCCACCGUUCCUUAUCUAAAAUGUCUUUAUUGAACUAAGCCAUUAUGCAUGCGUUUAAAAGCAAAAGUUGUAAAAUUUGUGAAAUCUGAUACUUUUGAAAAAUUAUAUGCAAAACUAAAUUUAAAUAUAAAUAUAUUCUAUGUGAACACAGUGAUCCCAUCUUCGCUUUAACCUUAAGAACUCAUCCAUUGAACUCGUAACUCCGUGGAGUUUCUGGUUAUCCUCUUUGAGAAUUUAACUUUAAACAAGAGUUGCUGUUUGGAGAUACAUUGUUAUCCAUCCUCAUCGUUCUUCCUUUUAAGAUUUUGACCCAAGUUUGCUAUACGUUUUAGUUCAGUUUUCUCCCAGUAUAGAUCCAGAUCUGCCUACGUUUCAAUGGUGGCUUUUGCGGUGUGAGAAUGUUUAUUAAUGGCCAGUUGAGUAAAUUGAAUGAACCAUUCAUGUUCUGGGGUGAUCCACAAGCUGAUUACCUAUGCUGAUUGCCACACCUGUGUUGGUUUGCCAUACUUACCUGGGUGAUCACACAGAGGAGGUUAUGUGGAGUAGAACAGAGAAGCAGAUUUGGGCCAGAUGCUUGUGGCCUUCAUUGUCAUUGAAGAGUUUGCACCCUUGGUAGGCGGAGCGAGGUUAGCUCAUUCUCUUUAUUUGUUGCUUUAAUUGUUUAUAUACAAAAAUGAACGUGUAAUGAACUGUUUUUAGAGAAAACUGAACUUUGUACCUAUUAAUAUUGUUGUGCGUUUUUUAGUUUCACGGUGCUUUAAGAUGCAAUAAAGUUUUCACCGGUUGAACUCUAUGCUGUCUCAUUGAUGCCAAGGGCUGCUACAGUGAAACUAGUCCACUGAUUGGAGCCAUCUUCUAUCAAGUACCAUUCCCCAUCUGUGUCUUCCCAAUGCUACACCUGCAGUGAGAAACCUUUGGUAGCUGAGGUGUGUCUGCACAGGUCAGGGAAAAGGCGGCUGUCAACACUUCGUCAACACCACGGGAUCCCGACAUUACUCCAUACGUCUACCUCCGAGUGCUGUCCCGGAAGUGGACUGACCCUCGCUGGAAGGGACCGUUUCGGGUUCUGGCUAGAACCUCACACGCCGUCCAAUUGGAGACCAAGGGUCAUAAGUGGUAUCAUUACUCGCAGUUGAGACCGGCACCUGACUUUGUACCUGACAAUGGUGAGCGUGAAAGUUGAUUGCCCAGACGGGCAGGUCAAGAGAGGAAUGGUGAAGAUGAUCAGAAUUGAGUCUAGAUCAAAGAUGUCAACAAAGUCUGUGUCUGAAAAACAAUUAGGACGCGAAUGUCCGAGUUCUUUUACGAUUACGAUUUUAUUGCUUUGCCUCGCAUCAAUAUGCUUUGUGUGGACCAUGCUGGCGCUCGAAUCUGUUAUACAGGAUGAAAGAAGUGAAGGAGUGACUGUGGACAGCAAUGGAACGGUGUGGUAUGAGGCACGGCAAGGUGGUGGUGGUGAGCUGACACAGACACAACAAACACUGAUGAGUUUAAAAUUUAAUCAACCGACACAGGUGAGCACGUGGGGGAGCCUUUUUAAUUGGACACCACAAUGGAGGGAUCUGGAACAUACGCAAUGGAUACCAAUUGGUACACUGAAUGGCUGAGUAUGUUUGGAAGCUACAAAGGUUUGAUCGGCUCUGUGGUAGUUUCUAUUGCUGUGUUUGUGGCUAUCAUGGUGCUCUGCGGAUGUUGUUGUAUCCCAUGUAUUAGGUCUCUCACAGUCCGGACAAUCGAGCGGACCCUGGGACCGCUCCCACCAGGUGGACAGUACAUGAUGCUUUCACAGAAGGACCCCCGGGAGUUCGGAGUGUGAAUUGUCGGUGGCAUGGCCUCAGUGGGCUGAGGCCAUGAGAGGGAAUAAAAGAAAUGAAAUGUAUAAAAGUUAAUCAACAAGGCGUUGUAUUUGCAAUACUACUUAAUGUGUGAAAGUCUGUGGAUGAAAAGUUGCAGUGUGAGAAUGUGGCAUGAAAGUGAUUACAGCAGAUAGCGUGCUAGAACGGAAUGUUCUCGACGGUUGGUGGUGACCACAAUCAGCAGGUGUGGGGUGACGCGACGCUUGACCUAGAGGGAGACGGGAGCAACAAAACGUCAACAACUGCAGGCGGGAGGAGUGGCCCCACCAUCCUGCGGACCAAGAAAGACCAAUGAGAGAGCGCUAAGGAUAACUGCAGGAGACACAUAACCAAUAGUGAAUUAGUAGAUUGUACUUUUAAAUUGUCCUGGGCAACUCGGAUGUGGAGUACGUCGGCUGGAGGGAACAGAGACGUACAGGGUUGUAUUGAGAGAGACCUGAGACCCAGGUGUUUCUUGAAGG